This is a long non-coding RNA of Alligator mississippiensis (American alligator), 1313 nucleotides long. RefSeq lists it as uncharacterized. Lineage: Eukaryota; Metazoa; Chordata; Crocodylia; Alligatoridae. The transcript has 7 exons. The record is from RefSeq and is a predicted model, not a curated record.
GCGGCCGCAACAUUCGGGCCUUGGAACGUUGGGGCUUAAGGCUCGGCGUUCCGCCCGCGCGGCUCCGCGGCAGCCAUGGUUGUCAAGGUCAAGGUGCUGUAUUGCGGGAGCUGAGGCUAUGGGUCCAAGUAUCGACAGCUCCGGCUGGAACUCGAAAGCAGGUUCCCAGGCAAGCUGGAGAUAAGCAGUGAGGGGACUCGUGAGGCCACAGGAUGGUUUGAAGUGUCAGUCGGAGGCAAGCUGGUGCAUUCUAAAAAGAAGCCUCAGACCCUGAUCCCUGACGUUUUGGGUUGAGAUCUGACCGGCUAGGAUCCCAGCAGCAGCAACAAGCUUUGUCAGGGCUUUCAGUCCACAAAGGCGUUGUGAGACUUGCGGGGCCCACUUCUCAAACAACGCAUUGUUCCCUGUGUUCCAGCACUGCGGUCUCAUGACUGCCGUUUCACGGUGAUACAAACGGAAUGGCGAUGGCUUUGUGGAUGACAACGACAAGCUUGACAAGAUCUUUACGGCCAUCAAAGAGGCUCUGGCAUAGGGACACCGGAACGCAUUGGCGAUAAGUGUGUAACAAAGCUUGAGAAGAAUCUACCUUGUUCAGCCCAGCCGAGCGCUCGAUGACAGGAAUGGCUGAAAUAUCCCUGGAUGCGAGGCCAUUCCUUGAAGCCCUUGCGUGGCAUGCUGCUGUGAACGGUGGUAGAUGGGACUCGGGUUCUGCUCUCUGAAAUGCUUUUUAUGUAUGUGCCAGUUGCACCCGGGGUGGAAACGGCCUUCGUUAACAUGCAAUGUUUGUCUGUCUCGCUGUUUUCUAAUGAAAGUGCCUCCACCAAUCUGACGUCCAGGGCACUUCCUUUCUGUCUGACCAUGCAGUGAAAUCUUAGUGCAGACGCUUGGAUAGUAAGCUCUGUCAGGGGUCACUGGGGUGAGGGGGUCAGUGGGGUAAUUAUCUCUAUCUUACCCACCCACUGAAGUCAUGGCCCUGCUUCACAUGGGCAGCACCUGGUGUGGAAAGAGGAAGCAGCAAUGUCCUGCUGAAUAUGCAUCAGGGGGUGGAGCAGGGUAGUGUGCAGAUUAAAAACAGCACACCAUUGUUUUCCAACCGGAGCUGCAACUCUUGUCAUGGCUGAAACCCUUGGGAUUCUUCCUGGGAACUUCAGUUGUUCUGGGUCGCCAUCAGAACUAUUUCUUCUUUCUCAAACCUCAAUCUCCAUCCUGGUAAGACACUUCCUCCUCAAGGGCUUCCCAGAUGCUGUAUAAUUGAGUUGUGUGAUUUUGCUGUUGUCGCACUUAAGAGUCUCCAAUAAAACCCUUUAAACACA